This 278-nucleotide ribosomal RNA is filed under the name uncultured prokaryote. Its description in RNAcentral is "partial 16S ribosomal RNA". It matches the Rfam family "Bacterial small subunit ribosomal RNA", at positions 524 to 801 of the family's 1533-position model. The record is from RNAcentral.
CACGUAGGAGGCAAACGUUAUCCGGAUUUACUGGGCGUAAAGCGCGUGUAGGUGGUUCUGUAAGUAGGGCGUGAAAGCUCCCGGCUCAACUGGGAGAGGCCGUUCUAAACCGCAGAGCUAGAGGAUGGUAGAGGGAGGUGGAAUUCCAGGUGUAGCGGUGGAAUGCGCAGAUAUCUGGAGGAACACCAGUGUCGAAGGCGGCCUCCUGGACCAUUCCUGACACUAAGACGCGAAAGCUAGGGUAGCAAACGGGAUUAGAUACCCCGGUAGUCCCUGAG